AAAGUGCCAACCCGACCCUCUCUUCCCCGAUCUCCCCUCUGCUCAUGCUCUGUCUCCCUCUCUCUCUCACGAAUCGGCGCCGACGGGAAUGGAGUUUCGACCUCUGGCGAUCUUUCUCCGCCGGCAUCGUCUCCGAUUGAUCUUAGAUCCGGCUGGCAUUUCCCUCUCCGGGUUGCAUCAUAGCAUCUUGUCUUCUCACGCCCGCCUGCCGAGCCCUAGUUCUUGUUCCGGUGCCGCUGAUUAAGCUCAGAUCCGGUCGACGCCUUUUGUCUCCGGACUACAGACGUCGUAUUGCGUCUACCACCACUCAAUCGUUGGCGUAGAUUGGGCUUGGAGCACGAAGGUGAGGAGCUAGCUUCCCAGAUCCAUCGAUCGCCAGUGUGGAGAGGCAGUUAGGGUUUCAAGGGUAAGCAAUCCAAACCUUAUUCCUUCUAUGUCUCUGAUUUGUGCCCUAACUUCGAGCCUUACUCUUCGAUUCUUCCUACUGACAUCGUUGGAUCAUAUCUUGAACUUUUCUGUUUCUUGGUGUGAUUGAGCUCACGGUUGAAGGGAGGUGGGGUUCUGUGAUCGUGAGGUGAAUUCAUCAGCGAGGAUUUGUUCUGUGAAGGUGAUCUUGGGUUCCAGCAGUGACGAUCCUCAGUUGUGGAUCAAUUGAUAAGGGCUGUGAGGUGAAAUUGAGUGUUGUGGAUCAACAAGCGUGGCUGUAAAGAUCUGUUCUAUUCUGUUCUUUGGUGUUCUUGAUCCAGCUCACUUUGUUCCGACAACACUCCUUCCAGCAGCUCCUCUUUAGCUGCGGAUCAAGAGCAGAGAGCUGGGAUUUGAGGUUGAGGCCAUUGGGAGAUAUUCCAGUCACUACCCCCCUUGUCGCGAGGAUUUCUUGUUGUUGAUUUCUGUUAUUGUUUCUAUGCAUAUGAUGGUGAUGUGGGAUUUUUGUACUUGGACUUUAUGUUGACUUUUGGGUUUUCCACUCUUGUUUUCUACUACGGAUAUUUUCAUUACUUCAUGAAUUUGGUUAUUCUUCGUUGUAGUGGAGUAGGAGAUUUUACAUAUAUCUACAAUGAUUUUUAUAUCA
Molecule: long non-coding RNA, 1072 nt
Organism: Zingiber officinale
Lineage: Eukaryota; Viridiplantae; Streptophyta; Magnoliopsida; Zingiberales; Zingiberaceae
Exons: 2
Source: RefSeq, a predicted model, not a curated record